CCUACGGGGCGCAGCAGUGGGGGAUAUUGGACAAUGGGGGGAACCCUGAUCCAGCGACGCCGCGUGAGUGAAGAAGUAUUUCGGUAUGUAAAGCUCUGUCAGCAGGGAAGAAAGAAAUGACGGUACCUGACCAAGAAGCCCCGGCUAACUACGUGCCAGCAGCCGCGGUAAUACGUAGGGGGCAAGCGCUAUCCGGAUUUACUGGGUGUAAAGGGAGCGUAGACGGCAGUGCAAGUCUGGAGUGAAAGGCGGGGGCUCAACCCCCGGACUGCUCUGGAAACUGUACGGCUGGAGUGCAGGAGAGG
This 305-nucleotide ribosomal RNA is filed under the name uncultured bacterium. Its description in RNAcentral is "bacterial SSU rRNA". It matches the Rfam family "Bacterial small subunit ribosomal RNA", at positions 338 to 657 of the family's 1533-position model. The record is from RNAcentral.